RNAcentral lists this ribosomal RNA (482 nucleotides) under uncultured bacterium. Its description in RNAcentral is "partial 16S ribosomal RNA". It matches the Rfam family "Bacterial small subunit ribosomal RNA", at positions 30 to 507 of the family's 1533-position model. The record is from RNAcentral.
AUUGAACGCUGGCGGCAUGCUUUACACAUGCAAGUCGAAUGGUAACAGGCCGCAAGGUGCUGACGAGUGGCGAACGGGUGAGUAAUGCAUCGGAACGUGCCCAGUCGUGGGGGAUAACUACUCGAAAGAGUAGCUAAUACCGCAUACGAUCUAUGGAUGAAAGCGGGGGACCGUAAGGCCUCGCGCGAUUGGAGCGGCCGAUGUCAGAUUAGGUAGUUGGUGGGGUAAAGGCUCACCAAGCCAACGAUCUGUAGCUGGUCUGAGAGGACGACCAGCCACACUGGGACUGAGACACGGCCCAGACUCCUACGGGAGGCAGCAGUGGGGAAUUUUGGACAAUGGGCGCAAGCCUGAUCCAGCAAUGCCGCGUGCAGGAAGAAGGCCUUCGGGUUGUAAACUGCUUUUGUACGGAACGAAACGGCUCUGGUUAAUACCCGGGGCUAAUGACGGUACCGUAAGAAUAAGCACCGGCUAACUACGUG